This 498-nucleotide ribosomal RNA is filed under the name uncultured bacterium. RNAcentral's name for it is "partial 16S ribosomal RNA". It matches the Rfam family "Bacterial small subunit ribosomal RNA", at positions 28 to 523 of the family's 1533-position model. The record is from RNAcentral.
GAUGAACGCUGGCGGCGUGCUUAACACAUGCAAGUCGAACGAAGCACUUUAACUUGAUUUCUUCGGAUUGAUUGUUAUUGUGACUGAGUGGCGGACGGGUGAGUAACGCGUGGGUAACCUGCCUCAUACAGGGGGAUAACAGUUGGAAACGACUGCUAAUACCGCAUAAGCGCACGGUAUCGCAUGAUUCAGUGUGAAAAACUCGGGUGGUAUGAGAUGGACCCGCGCGGGAUUAGCUAGUGGGCGGAGUAACGGCCCACCGAGGCAACGAUCAGUAGCCGACGUGAGAGGGUGACCGGCCACAUUGGGACUGAGACACGGCCCAAACUCCUACGGGAGGGAGCAGUGGGAUAUAUUGCACAAUGGGCGAGAGCCUGAUGCAGCGACGGCGCGUGAACGAUGAAUUAUUUCGGUAAAUAAAGUUCUAACAGCAGGGAAGGAGAAUGACGGUACCUGACCAAGAAGCACCGGCUAAAUACUUGCCAGCCGCCGCCGUAA